CAGAUUCCUAAUCUGUAGGUCGCAGGUUCGAAUCCUGCCGGGGUCACCA
RNAcentral lists this transfer RNA (49 nucleotides) under Alphaproteobacteria bacterium. Its description in RNAcentral is "tRNA-Ser". It matches the Rfam family "tRNA", at positions 27 to 71 of the family's 71-position model. Rfam says of the family: Transfer RNA (tRNA) molecules are approximately 80 nucleotides in length. Lineage: Bacteria; Pseudomonadati; Pseudomonadota; Alphaproteobacteria. The record is from RNAcentral.